Molecule: ribosomal RNA, 490 nt
Filed under: uncultured bacterium
Lineage: Bacteria
Description: partial 16S ribosomal RNA
Rfam family: Bacterial small subunit ribosomal RNA
Source: RNAcentral
AGUGAACGCUGGCGGUAGGCCUAACACAUGCAAGUCGAACGGUAGCACAGGAGAGCUUGCUCUCUGGGUGGCGAGUGGCGGACGGGUGAGGAAUACAUCGGAAUCUGCCCAGUCGUGGGGGAUAACGUAGGGAAACUUACGCUAAUACCGCAUACGACCUUCGGGUGAAAGAGGGGGAUCGCAAGACCUCUCGCGAUUGGAUGAGCCGAUGUCGGAUUAGCUAGUUGGCGGGGUAAUGGCCCACCAAGGCGACGAUCCGUAGCUGGUCUGAGAGGAUGAUCAGCCACACUGGAACUGAGACACGGUCCAGACUCCUACGGGAGGCAGCAGUGGGGAAUAAUGGACAAUGGGCGCAAGCCUGAUCCAGCCAUACCGCGUGGGUGAAGAAGGCCUUCGGGUUGUAAAGCCCUUUUGUUGGGAAAGAAAUCUUUCAGGCUAAUACCCUGGGAGGAUGACGGUACCCAAAGAAUAAGCACCGGCUAACUUCGUG